GUCCUAGCUGUAAACGAUGAGCACUAGGUGUUGGUCCUUCGGGAUCGGCGCCGCAGUUAACACAUUAAGUGCUCCACCUGGGGACUACGACCGCAAGGUUAAAACUCAAAGGAAUUGACGGGGGCCCGCACAAGCGGUGGAACAUGUGGUUCAAUUCGACGCUACGCGAAGAACCUCACCAAGGUUUGACAUGCAGGAAGUAUGAACCUGAAAGGGGGAAGACCUGUCAAGUCAGGAGCCUGCACAGGUGCUGCAUGGCUGUCGU
RNAcentral lists this ribosomal RNA (265 nucleotides) under uncultured bacterium. RNAcentral's name for it is "partial 16S ribosomal RNA". It matches the Rfam family "Bacterial small subunit ribosomal RNA", at positions 793 to 1055 of the family's 1533-position model. The record is from RNAcentral.